GAUGAACGCUGGCGGCGUGCUUAACACAUGCAAGUCGAACGGAAAGGCUCCUGCUUGCAGGGGUACUCGAGUGGCGAACGGGUGAGUAACACGUGGGUGAUCUGCCCUGCACUUCGGGAUAAGACUGGGAAACUGGGUCUAAUACCGGAUAGGACCACAUCUUGGAUGGUGUGGUGGAAAGUUUUUCGGUGUGGGAUGAGCUCGCGGCCUAUCAGCUUGUUGGUGGGGUAAUGGCCUACGACGGCGUCGACGGGUAGCCGGCCUGAGAGGGUGGACGGCCACAUUGGGACUGAGAUACGGCCCAGACUCCUACGGUAGGCAGCAGUGGGGAAUAUUGCACAAUGGGCGCAAGCCUGAGGCAGCGACGCCGCGUGGGGGAUGACGGUCUUCGGGUUGUAAACUCCUUUCGCUAGGGACGAAGCGCAAGUGACGGUACCUGGAGAAGAAGCACCGGCUAACUACGUG
Molecule: ribosomal RNA, 465 nt
Filed under: uncultured bacterium
Lineage: Bacteria
Description: partial 16S ribosomal RNA
Rfam family: Bacterial small subunit ribosomal RNA
Source: RNAcentral